CCUACGGGAGGCAGCAGUGGGGAAUUUUGGACAAUGGGCGAAAGCCUGAUCCAGCAAUGCCGCGUGAGUGAAGAAGGCCUUCGGGUUGUAAAGCUCUUUUGUCAGGGAAGAAACGGUGUUUUCUAAUACAGAAUGCUAAUGACGGUACCUGAAGAAUAAGCACCGGCUAACUACGUGCCAGCAGCCGCGGUAAUACGUAGGGUGCAAGCGUUAAUCGGAAUUACUGGGCGUAAAGCGUGCGCAGGCGGUUUUGUAAGUCUGACGUGAAAUCCCCGUGCUCAACCUGGGAAUUGCGUUGGAGACUGCAAGGCUAGAGUUUGGCAGAGGGGGGUAGAAUUCCACGUGUAGCAGUGAAAUGCGUAGAUAUGUGGAGGAACACCGAUGGCGAAGGCAGCCCCCUGGGUCAAGACUGACGCUCAUGCACGAAAGCGUGGGGAGCAAACAGGAUUAGAUACCCUGGUAGUCCACGCCCUAAACGAUGUCUACUAGUUGUCGGGUCUUAAUUGACUUGGUAACGCAGCUAACGCGUGAAGUAGACCGCCUGGGGAGUACGGUCGCAAGAUUAAAACUUAAAUGAAUUGACGG
RNAcentral lists this ribosomal RNA (585 nucleotides) under uncultured bacterium. RNAcentral describes it as "bacterial SSU rRNA". It matches the Rfam family "Bacterial small subunit ribosomal RNA", at positions 338 to 916 of the family's 1533-position model. The record is from RNAcentral.